GAAUUCGAUUCUCCUGGAAACGGUGGUAAUGCCGGAUGCUCCAGUUGUAUGCAUGUCCUUCUGGGAAAGAUUAUAUCGGUAUGGGAUGGGGUCGCGUCCUAUCAGGUAGUCGGCGGGGUAACGGCCCACCGAGCCUACGACGGGUAGCCGGCCUGAGAGGGCGACCGGCCACAUUGGGACUGAGAUACGGCCCAGACUCCUACGGGAGGCAGCAGUGGGGAAUAUUGCACAAUGGGCGCAAGCCUGAUGCAGCGACGCCGCGUGCGGGAUGACGGCCUUCGGGUUGUAAACCGCUUUUGAUCGGGAGCAAGCCUUCGGGUGAGUGUACCUUUCGAAUAAGCACCGGCUAACUACGUGCCAGCAGCCGCGGUAAUACGUAGGGUGCAAGCGUUAUCCGGAAUUAUUGGGCGUAAAGGGCUCGUAGGCGGUUCGUCGCGUCCGGUGUGAAAGUCCAUCGCUUAACGGUGGAUCCGCGCCGGGUACGGGCGGGCUUGAGUGCGGUAGGGGAGACUGGAAUUCCCGGUGUAACGGUGGAAUGUGUAGAUAUCGGGAAGAACACCAAUCACUAGUG
RNAcentral lists this ribosomal RNA (571 nucleotides) under uncultured Bifidobacterium sp. RNAcentral describes it as "bacterial SSU rRNA". It matches the Rfam family "Bacterial small subunit ribosomal RNA", at positions 141 to 721 of the family's 1533-position model. Lineage: Bacteria; Bacillati; Actinomycetota; Actinomycetes; Bifidobacteriales; Bifidobacteriaceae. The record is from RNAcentral.